GAUGAACGCUGGCGGCGUGCCUAAUACAUGCAAGUCGAGCGAACAGACGAGGAGCUUGCUCCUCUGACGUUAGCGGCGGACGGGUGAGUAACACGUGGAUAACCUACCUAUAAUACUGGGAUAACUUCGGGAAACCGGAGCUAAUACCGGAUAAUAUAUUGAACCGCAUGGUUCAAUAGUGAAAGACGGUUUUGCUGUCACUUAUAGAUGGAUCCGCGCCGCAUUAGCUAGUUGGUAAGGUAACGGCUUACCAAGGCGACGAUGCGUAGCCGACCUGAGAGGGUGAUCGGCCACACUGGAACUGAGACACGGUCCAGACUCCUACGGGAGGCAGCAGUAGGGAAUCUUCCGCAAUGGGCGAAAGCCUGACGGAGCAACGCCGCGUGAGUGAUGAAGGUCUUCGGAUCGUAAAACUCUGUUAUUAGGGAAGAACAAAUGUGUAAGUAACUAUGCACGUCUUGACGGUACCUAAUCAGAAAGCCACGGCUAACUACGUG
Molecule: ribosomal RNA, 497 nt
Filed under: uncultured bacterium
Lineage: Bacteria
Description: partial 16S ribosomal RNA
Rfam family: Bacterial small subunit ribosomal RNA
Source: RNAcentral